Molecule: ribosomal RNA, 253 nt
Filed under: uncultured bacterium
Lineage: Bacteria
Description: partial 16S ribosomal RNA
Rfam family: Bacterial small subunit ribosomal RNA
Source: RNAcentral
UACGUAGGGGGCAAGCGUUGCUCGGAAUUACUGGGCGUAAAGGGUGUGCAGGCGGCCGGUUCAGUCGAAGAUGAAAUCCCGAGGCUCAACUUCGGAACGGUCUUCGAUACUGAUCGGCUUGAGGCUGGUUGAGGAGAGCGGAAUUCCCGGUGGAGCGGUGAAAUGCGUAGAUAUCGGGAGGAACACCAGAGGCGAAGGCGGCUCUCUAAACUAGUCCUGACGCUGAGACACGAAAGCUAGGGGAGCAAACGGG